Molecule: transfer RNA, 32 nt
Filed under: Scomber japonicus (chub mackerel)
Lineage: Eukaryota; Metazoa; Chordata; Actinopteri; Scombriformes; Scombridae
Also listed under: 3 other names
Description: partial tRNA-Leu
Source: RNAcentral
AGAAACUCUUGGUGCAAAUCCAAGUAGCAGCU